RNAcentral lists this unclassified non-coding RNA (71 nucleotides) under soil metagenome. RNAcentral describes it as "partial internal transcribed spacer 1". The record is from RNAcentral.
UUGAUUUUAAGUUAUUUGUGAACGUACUACUAACUAACAAAAAAAUUUAUAAUCAAAAAAAAAUUAAAUCA